RNAcentral lists this ribosomal RNA (644 nucleotides) under uncultured bacterium. RNAcentral's name for it is "bacterial SSU rRNA". The stretch from base 1 to 544 matches the Rfam family "Bacterial small subunit ribosomal RNA", at positions 338 to 873 of the family's 1533-position model. The record is from RNAcentral.
CCUACGGGAGGCAGCAGUGAGGAAUAUUGGACAAUGGGCGCAAGCCUGAUCCAGCCAUGCCGCGUGCAGGAAGAAGCAUCUAUGGUGUGUAAACUGCUUUUGUACAGGAAGAAACACUCCCUCGUGAGGGAGCUUGACGGUACUGUAAGAAUAAGGACCGGCUAACUCCGUGCCAGCAGCCGCGGUAAUACGGAGGGUCCAAGCGUUAUCCGGAAUCAUUGGGUUUAAAGGGUCCGUAGGCGGUUUAAUAAGUCAGUGGUGAAAUCUGGUCGCUCAACGAUCAAACGGCCAUUGAUACUGUUAGACUUGAAUUAUAAGGAAGUAACUAGAAUAUGUAGUGUAGCGGUGAAAUGCUUAGAUAUUACAUGGAAUACCAAUUGCGAAGGCAGGUUACUACUUAUGGAUUGACGCUGAAUGGACGAAAGCGUGGGGAGCGAACAGGAUUAGAUACCCUGGUAGUCCACGCCGUAAAACGGAUAGGAUACUAGCUGUUCGGAGACAUCUGUAGUGGUCGUAAGACGAAGUAGAGUAAGUAUACCGUACCGUACGGGUAGGUACGGUUCGUCGAACGAAGUAGAAACGUACGAAACGAAGUUAGUACGGACGUAGAGACGUACGACGACGGACGACGACGAGGGAGGAGG